This 253-nucleotide ribosomal RNA is filed under the name uncultured bacterium. RNAcentral's name for it is "partial 16S ribosomal RNA". It matches the Rfam family "Bacterial small subunit ribosomal RNA", at positions 524 to 776 of the family's 1533-position model. The record is from RNAcentral.
UACGUAGGGUCCGAGCGUUGUCCGGAAUCAUUGGGCGUAAAGCGCGUGUAGGCGGCCCGGUAAGUCCGCUGUGAAAGUCCAGGGCUCAACCCUGGGAUGCCGGUGGAUACUGUCGGGCUCGAGUCCGGAAGAGGCGAGUGGAAUUCCUGGUGUAGCGGUGAAAUGCGCAGAUAUCAGGAGGAACACCAAUGGCGAAGGCAGCUCGCUGGGACGUGACUGACGCUAAGGCGCGAAAGCGUGGGGAGCAAACAGG